Non-coding RNA from Pantherophis guttatus, 679 nucleotides. NCBI's taxonomy places the organism in Eukaryota, Metazoa, Chordata, Lepidosauria, Squamata, Colubridae. The record is from RefSeq and is a predicted model, not a curated record.
UUCCUCCCUUCACAUUCCCUUCCAGUAUGCAGUAAGAACAAGGCUAUUUGCUGUGCUGCUUUGAUAAUCAUAUAGUAGCUCAAAGGAAAGGAAGGGAUUCUAGAAAUCAUCCUUGGUUUUACUGUAGGCAUCUUAGCAUGGAAUUGGCAAAUAAAGUGGGAAAAGCUGGCAUCUUUACCUACUGAUGCUUUCAAGUACACAGACACUGGAGAAAAAGAGGAAUGCAUAUGAUGUUUCAUCAACGGCAGCAGAAGCCAUAUUAAUGACAAGGCAUUACAUAUUUUAUGCACAGCCAAUAUUUUAUUAGAAAAGACUGAAAAUACUACCUUAAAAUCUGAAUGAAUUUAAGCUUCAUCCGCAGUUUGGGAGUGAAAUGAAAGCAACAUCAUGAAAAUAUGUCCCUUAUAAAUGGUCAGUAGGGCAUCUUCAUGUUGCAGUUGGAGGAAUAUCAGUCUGAACCCCAAGGAAAACAAAUAAAAGAAGCAGAAAGCUACCUGAGAAAAAGAUAAAACAUAAAAAGUAAAUUGAGCAUAAAAAGAAUAGAAUAUGCAGAGAUAUACUUGUACUGAAAUGAUUUAUAACUGGAAAUAUUCUACAAAUGACAUUGAGAAGAUUCAGGAGCAUGAAUAAGGAAAAAAAGUCCAGUCAUUAGCAUUAAAAACAACAUUUCCCUCAUGAA